UACGUAGGGUGCGAGCGUUGUCCGGAUUUAUUGGGCGUAAAGGGCUCGUAGGCGGCUUGUCGCGUCGGGAGUGAAAGCCCGCUGCUUAACGGCGGGUUUGCUUUCGGUACGGGCUGGCUGGAGUGCGGCAGGGGAGACUGGAAUUCCUGGUGUAGCGGUGGAAUGCGCAGAUAUCAGGAGGAACACCGGUGGCGAAGGCGGGUCUCUGGGCCGUUACUGACGCUGAGGAGCGAAAGCGUGGGGAGCAAACAGG
RNAcentral lists this ribosomal RNA (253 nucleotides) under uncultured bacterium. RNAcentral describes it as "partial 16S ribosomal RNA". It matches the Rfam family "Bacterial small subunit ribosomal RNA", at positions 524 to 776 of the family's 1533-position model. The record is from RNAcentral.